RNAcentral lists this ribosomal RNA (1531 nucleotides) under Salmonella enterica subsp. enterica serovar Infantis. Its description in RNAcentral is "partial 23S ribosomal RNA". It matches the Rfam family "Bacterial large subunit ribosomal RNA", at positions 711 to 2141 of the family's 2925-position model. RNAcentral also lists the same sequence under 3 other names. Lineage: Bacteria; Pseudomonadati; Pseudomonadota; Gammaproteobacteria; Enterobacterales; Enterobacteriaceae. The record is from RNAcentral.
AGACCCGAAACCCGGUGAUCUAGCCAUGGGCAGGUUGAAGGUUGGGUAACACUAACUGGAGGACCGAACCGACUAAUGUUGAAAAAUUAGCGGAUGACCUGUGGCUGGGGGUGAAAGGCCAAUCAAACCGGGAGAUAGCUGGUUCUCCCCGAAAGCUAUUUAGGUAGCGCCUCGUGAAUUCAUCUCCGGGGGUAGAGCACUGUUUCGGCUAGGGGGCCAUCCCGGCUUACCAACCCGAUGCAAACUGCGAAUACCGGAGAAUGUUAUCACGGGAGACACACGGCGGGUGCUAACGUCCGUCGUGAAGAGGGAAACAACCCAGACCGCCAGCUAAGGUCCCAAAGUCAUGGUUAAGUGGGAAACGAUGUGGGAAGGCCCAGACAGCCAGGAUGUUGGCUUAGAAGCAGCCAUCAUUUAAAGAAAGCGUAAUAGCUCACUGGUCGAGUCGGCCUGCGCGGAAGAUGUAACGGGGCUAAACCAUGCACCGAAGCUGCGGCAGCGAACGUAUCACUUAAAGCGAUUCAGCGGGUUACGAUUGACGGAGCGAAGCGACGUCAAAGCGUAUACAAAGUCGAGUCGGUUUAAGGAUACGUUCGUUGGGUAGGGGAGCGUUCUGUAAGCCUGUGAAGGUGUGUCGUGAGGCAUGCUGGAGGUAUCAGAAGUGCGAAUGCUGACAUAAGUAACGAUAAAGCGGGUGAAAAGCCCGCUCGCCGGAAGACCAAGGGUUCCUGUCCAACGUUAAUCGGGGCAGGGUGAGUCGACCCCUAAGGCGAGGCCGAAAGGCGUAGUCGAUGGGAAACGGGUUAAUAUUCCCGUACUUGGUGUUACUGCGAAGGGGGGACGGAGAAGGCUAUGUUGGCCGGGCGACGGUUGUCCCGGUUUAAGCGUGUAGGUGUGUGUUCCAGGUAAAUCCGGUUCACUUUAACACUGAGGCGUGACGACGAGGCACUACGGUGCUGAAGCAACAAAUGCCCUGCUUCCAGGAAAAGCCUCUAAGCAUCAGGUAACAUCAAAUCGUACCCCAAACCGACACAGGUGGUCAGGUAGAGAAUACCAAGGCGCUUGAGAGAACUCGGGUGAAGGAACUAGGCAAAAUGGUGCCGUAACUUCGGGAGAAGGCACGCUGACACGUAGGUGAAGUGAUUUACUCAUGGAGCUGAAGUCAGUCGAAGAUACCAGCUGGCUGCAACUGUUUAUUAAAAACACAGCACUGUGCAAACACGAAAGUGGACGUAUACGGUGUGACGCCUGCCCGGUGCCGGAAGGUUAAUUGAUGGGGUCAGCGCAAGCGAAGCUCCUGAUCGAAGCCCCGGUAAACGGCGGCCGUAACUAUAACGGUCCUAAGGUAGCGAAAUUCCUUGUCGGGUAAGUUCCGACCUGCACGAAUGGCGUAAUGAUGGCCAGGCUGUCUCCACCCGAGACUCAGUGAAAUUGAACUCGCUGUGAAGAUGCAGUGUACCCGCGGCAAGACGGAAAGACCCCGUGAACCUUUACUAUAGCUUGACACUGAACAUUGAGCCUUGAUGUGUAG